RNAcentral lists this ribosomal RNA (512 nucleotides) under uncultured bacterium. RNAcentral's name for it is "partial 16S ribosomal RNA". It matches the Rfam family "Bacterial small subunit ribosomal RNA", at positions 355 to 860 of the family's 1533-position model. The record is from RNAcentral.
UGGGGAAUUUUGGACAAUGGGCGAAAGCCUGAUCCAGCAAUGCCGCGUGUGUGAAGAAGGCCUUCGGGUUGUAAAGCACUUUUGUCCGGAAAGAAAUCCUUGGCUCUAAUACAGUCGGGGGAUGACGGUACCGGAAGAAUAAGCACCGGCUAACUACGUGCCAGCAGCCGCGGUAAUACGUAGGGUGCAAGCGUUAAUCGGAAUUACUGGGCGUAAAGCGUGCGCAGGCGGUUUGCUAAGACCGAUGUGAAAUCCCCGGGCUCAACCUGGGAACUGCAUUGGUGACUGGCAGGCUAGAGUAUGGCAGAGGGGGGUAGAAUUCCACGUGUAGCAGUGAAAUGCGUAGAGAUGUGGAGGAAUACCGAUGGCGAAGGCAGCCCCCUGGGCCAAUACUGACGCUCAUGCACGAAAGCGUGGGGAGCAAACAGGAUUAGAUACCCUGGUNGUCCACGCCCUAAACGAUGUCAACUAGUUGUUGGGGAUUCAUUUCCUUAGUAACGUAGCUAACGCGU